Molecule: non-coding RNA, 172 nt
Organism: Paramuricea clavata
Lineage: Eukaryota; Metazoa; Cnidaria; Anthozoa; Malacalcyonacea; Plexauridae
Source: the annotation of a GenBank genome assembly
UUCAAUGUCUGAGAAUAAUACAUGGGUGCGCGGAAAUACCAGCUUUAUUAAUUCGAGUGUUGAACAUGAUAUCUCACCACGAGUGAGCGCAGUGAACGAGUGAGAUGUCAUGUUCAACACAAAAAAUAAAUCUGGUAUUUCCAACCACCCAUGUAUUUUUCUGUUUAUUAUA